Non-coding RNA from Mustela putorius furo (domestic ferret), 326 nucleotides. The record is from Rfam. Lineage: Eukaryota; Metazoa; Chordata; Mammalia; Carnivora; Mustelidae.
AGAUGUGAGGGCGAUCUGGUUGCAACCUCGGUCACCCCAUUGAUCGUAAGGGUUGAUUCAGCUAAUCUGGCUGGCGAGGCAGGUGUCCACUUCCUCCCUCAACACUCCAUGUGCGUCCCUUCUGAAGCUAUGCUCUCUGUCAAAGAGGAUGGCCUUCCCAGAGACAGGAGAGGACCAUUCUUUGGUCAAGGAUAUAUGAGUAGCUGCAGUCCCCUGCUAGAACUUCCAAAUAAGUUCUCAAGGCUCAUAAACUCUUAAAGGUCAUUGUAUGAUUAUUAAUUAGCCUAACUUCAGUAUUAUAUCUCAGGAAUUAGGCAGGCUUGGGG